Diabrotica virgifera virgifera (western corn rootworm) is the source of this 1607-nucleotide long non-coding RNA. RefSeq lists it as uncharacterized. The record is from RefSeq and is a predicted model, not a curated record. Lineage: Eukaryota; Metazoa; Arthropoda; Insecta; Coleoptera; Chrysomelidae. The transcript has 2 exons.
ACCAAUAGAAGCAAUUGGAAGAAGUGGAUAAAAGGCGGAACCCGACAUCCGACGCCCUGAAGGACAAGAAGAUACAAUUCAGUCAUCAGAAUUGGAUUUUACAGUGCAUUCCUUCAAUUACUGUUAUAAUGCUAUUAUAGAUAGACUGCUAGAGUCUCACAGUUACUGCUUUAAGCAGCAGAUGAAAGCAUACAAAAGCCUUCAGGCACAUAAAAGCCUUCACAACUGGAUUUGUUUUGAAACAUUGAUGUUUUGAUGAUUUCUAUAUUAUUGUUGGAAAGGUGAAAAAUUCCCAAAAAGCUAAUGCUAAACCGCUAGAUGCUUCGGUGAAUAGCCAGUUCCAAUGGCAUAGCAAAUGCACAUUGUAUGUGUAUGGCCAGUAAUAGUGAAAUUUGCAGCCAUAUUGCAGCAAUCUUAUUUGCAGCUGAGUAUGCCCACAGCAAGACAGAAGAAGAAGAACCCAAUGCAUGUACAGAUGUUACAGCUAUGUACAUUCUCUGGUGAAAAACUAAUGAGUUUUCAAGCUGUUCGGUCAGAGUGCUUGUUGCGCUCUCUAAACGAACUGAUAUAUAAGACGGCUUUGGCUUCAUGUUGCAGUGAUAUGAAAAUGGUUAGUCAUUUUUAAUUAUAAUGUACUUCUUCAUCAUGAGUAUUUAUGUAUAGGGCUUUUCAUUCACAGUCAUUUGUUUCGAGCUUCUGUCAUGUGUCACAUAAUAUUAAUAUUAUAUCUACGUCAUACGUUAUUGGUAUAUAUCAAUGAUACACACCAAAGACAUAUGGCAUAGAUAUAUUAAUAUUAUGUGACACAUGACAGAUGCUCGAAACAAAUGACAGUCGAUAAAAAGCCCUAUUAGUCUUUUAAGUGUGUAUUAUCAGAUAUCACAUGUAAAUUGUUUUUAUCAUGUUAAUUUGGUCAUUACAGUCCCUUAAUCAAAAAAUAUAUUUUUCAGGUGUCUGUGGAUCUUUUUGUAUGCAAAAAUUUGUAAUAAUUAUUUGAAAUCAUUUUGAUGAUUAUUAGAGUAUGGAAAUAUAUGUGAGAACACAUACUAUUAUAGUUUUGUCCUAUUUUUUAUCAUUCAAUAGUCUUCUUAAAAUUUAUAAAUAUAAAGCAGAUAGUUUUCAUUUAAAUUCAAUAUAUUGGGUCUUAUUUGUAUGUAUUCAUUUUUGACUAAAGGUACGAUUCCGAUAACGACUGCAGACAGCAACUGCAAACAUCAGUUGCAGUUCUCGGCGUUAUGGACGUUACUACUUUGCACUAUUUAUCUGUAUGAGACUUAUUCCGACAUCUGACUGCAACUGCUGUCUGGCAGAACGUCAGUUGCUAAUAAUUAUGCAAAUUAUUAGUGCAAAAUAAUGACGUCUGUCAUGGUGACAACUGUAACUGCCAUCUGCAGUCGUUGUCGGAAUCGUACCUUUAAAGUGUGUGGUAUACCUAAUUAUAAUAAUUAUAUAUAUAUAUAUAUAUAUAUAUAUAUAUAUAUAUAUAUAUAUAUAUAUAUAUAUAUAUAUAUAUAUAUAUAUUAUAUAACUUAAAUGGUUUAAACUUAAGUUUGUUAUUACAUUGUGACUUAAAUGUUUAAUUUGUUAAUAAAUGAUUUAUUAGUUUA